Molecule: long non-coding RNA, 3222 nt
Organism: Drosophila biarmipes
Lineage: Eukaryota; Metazoa; Arthropoda; Insecta; Diptera; Drosophilidae
Exons: 2
Source: RefSeq, a predicted model, not a curated record
AUUCCCCUAGGUGCAUGCACACACAUAUGUAGGAAUGUGUAAUCUCACGGGUGAAAAAUAGAUGACACACUCGUCGCCGCGGCUCUACAUGCCGUGUAUGUACAGAUACAUAUGCGUGGAGCGGUGCAGCUGUCAGCUGUGCACGAGCAGUUUUCUUUGUGCUGCACUUCUUUACAGCAACGAGUGAUAAUGAUAACAAUGCCCGACGAGGAAAUGGGGCAAGCACAGCAGGAAAACAUCGGGGACGGGCCUCUCGGCUAUGUUUGUAUACACACACCGCACACAUCCAUGGGCGGGUAGGAAAUCUUUGCAGAACGCCAGGGUUGCCACCUCUGCAUUGCCCACAAAUGCCAGAGCGAUCGAUCGAUAGGCCACCGCUUGUUAUCGAAAAUAAAAUAGAAAAGUUUCUUAUCAGCAAGUGGAGAAAACUAACAUAAAACUACUUAUUAUACAGCGAGUGCAGGGGAAAAUACUUUGGCAGAAAUAAGUACUUUCCAGAACUAAAUAGUACCACGUUUGGGUCUUUAAUUAGAAAGAACUGCCAUACAAUCUUAUCUCACUUAAAGGUUAGUCAAAAGACGUCAGUGAAAUUUCAAACUAAAUGCAUUUAUACAAAUUAGGCUAAUUUCCUGGUAAUUGUUGUUAUAAAUAUAUUAAAAUUUCUAAGAAAUAUUAAACACAAGCCAAACUACGUUCCCUUUUAUGUAGGGUUCCUAUCAAGAAAAAACCCGACUUUCAAAUUAACAUUCAACCUUGUUUUAUGAUCUUUACUUAUACAAUAACUGAAAUUGCCAAGCACAUAUGGAAUUUCUAUGUUAUAUUAAUUUUGGGCAGCAAUUAAAAGGCUAUAAUAAAGAAGUAAGGCAUCGGAAUUCACGAAAUAUGUAAUUUGCAUUUUUCCUGGGAAACUGGAAGAUAUUUCCAUGUAGAAAAUGGAACUCAAGGAAAACGCUCGAAAGUGAAAAUAGGAACUGGUCUGAUUGCAGUCGCAGCUAAUUAACAGACUUUGCACCUACUAAAAACGAGCGAAAAGAGCAGUGGAAUACAAGUGUGCUGGAAGUGCAACCGACUGAGAGCAAUAACGACCGUACACACAAGCAAUCGGGCAGUAUGUGCCAGUGUGCGGAGUGAAUAAUCAAUUGCCGGAGCAGCCGCGAUAAUAUAAUAUGGUGGCCACCCGAGUGGGGCUCGGGCUGGGGAUCGGCCUGACGGGGGACCUAUGGGGCAUGGGACUGCGAUUCCGGGCAAACCGACGCACGCCUUAUUGGUAAUUGCCCACACGGGAAUCCCAAAUACCUUGGACGUUGUACGCCCGAGCAUACAAACAUAUUUCGGAUUGUUUUUCCCCCUCAAAGCGUUGCAUUUUCAGCACUGAGAGAGCGCAGAGAGAUAGAGAGUCAAAUCGCGCACCCACUUCUAUUUUAUAUAAUAAAAUGGCAAUAUUUUACAUUUUAUCUUCGGCGCUGGUCUAUUUAUAGGCUGAAAAACAAAAAGACAGCACAAAAACACCAGAGAAGGCACCCACAACACGAAUGCGCUCUCAACGCCAGUGUUUGUUUGCUCGAGUGUGUGAGUCACACAUCAAGUGGGAAAUAUUUCACGAUAAAAAGUAAAAAUAAAAAGGUGCUAAAUGCCGUCGUACCUCACUCGAAGUUCAUAUGCCGUUUGCCGGGGUUAAUUCCCCACAGUGCGGCACCGACUGUUGAUUCCGGUUAUCGAGAUAGUCGUGAACGUGUCAUCGGAAUAAUCGAAUCAAGGUUUCUAUCGAUAAAAUAUUGAAAUUAUUUAAAAUACCAAUAUUAAAAUAUUUUUUCUGAAAUAAUUCAUCUUAGAAUGUUAAUAUUCAUAGAAUCCCACGAAAAAUAGGUUUAAUACCUGUUAUCGAACCCAGCUAAGUGACCUUUGAUGUACAAUCAACUGAGUAAACUUCAACAAUUACUAAACCAUAAAAUGUCAUCUAUUAGUAUGUAAUUCUGACGUAAACCUAAAUCGUGCUUCCUAAAUGGUUCUCAAGAAAACAGUUAUUUUUUGUGUGGGAAUUACGAAGCGCCUGGGGGGCUUUAGUUAAUUGUAUUUCUGAGAAAACAUUCCUAUGAUGCACACAAUUCGUCCUAAGCUUAUCUGAAGGCACUGAACUCAAACAAAAGAUAUAUCGAAAAAGAAUAAGCGGAAUACGGCAGAUAAGUAUAAAAAGUGCGUACAAUGAACUUGUAGCCCGUUCAAAUUCUGGAUGCAGAAUGACAAAUACAAAAAGGAGCUAACUGCUAAAGAAUCGAAAUUGUUCGUUCAACGACCGAUCAUUGCAUAAUUCAGGUUCGAUUGUUUUAUAGCGAAGAAGUGAAACGGAAAUGCGUAAAGCCCCCAAAUACUGAUAUAUGUGUAUAAAGAGUUGCGAGUGCUGCGGUUCGGAAAAACAUUGACCGUGAAUUGGCAUAAAUUGAAAUUUGAACAUAGGCAAUCAAAGAUUAGAUUAGGGACUUGUAUUCGUCGUAUGUGAGCUUAUUUACGUGACGACCUUAUCUCGACGCGGAAAGGCGGAAAAAAGCGACGACCACACCAAACCGAUGGAUAAAGAAAGCUCUUAGCAGCUGUUUGAGGUCUAGAAAAUCGGAUUCAAACAAAGCGAGCAACAGAAACACCAUUUUGAAAUGUCUUUUCUACGAAGCUUGUAUUAAUGAGCCUCUCUCCCGUAGAAUCUGGUUUUUGGGUCCAGCCGCAAACGAAAACAAAUGAACACGACAAUAAAAAGCAAUUUAAAUUUAAUCAGAAAACACACGAAGAUGUGGGGUCUGAAAACAAAACUACCGGCACACGUUUUCAGUGCUGUUUUACGUAGUCUGUGGCAGUAACAGGUUUUCUGUUAAAUUUAGAAUUCAGACUAAAGUAGGGUGACUAGAAAUUCACAAACUAUCCAGUUAGACACUUAGGACAAAGAAUAAUAUUGCUGUAUGAAAAAAAUACGGCAAAACUUUCUCUUUUAACGCAGAAGACUUGACAUCCAAAGAAAGAAAAAGACGAAAAUAAAUAAAUAAAGCACUUUGGAAGUGGUGGCGGCGUCGUCGAGGUAAAAAACUUAAAUAAAUUUCGAAUAAAAACUUUUUAUAUGUGGUUUCGUAACGACAAGUCGGCGGCAACCGCGAUAUCUUCAGCACAAAUACAUGUGCAUGCUAAUCAACGAAAGGCAAAAAACAUACAAAAUAAAAACCACCAACAAACAACACC